GAAGACCCUAACGUUUCUAGGUUUGACAAAAUCAAGAGAGGAAUCAUGGAUUUGGUGACUUUCUACAAGGAGACCCUGAAGGAGAAGCAGACGAAGAGAAGUGUGCAGUCCAGGCUUGACACUUUCUUUCACAAGUCUCCAGUACCACCACCUCCCACUCCUAGUCCUGGUAAGGAAUUCUGAACUGUUUUACUAAUUUAUGUGUUUACAUAGUGUACAUAUUAAAAUGUGUUAAUUUUUUAAUGUAACAACUAAAUGUAAGAGUAAAUUGUAACUUCAUUAAUUUUCAUCAUUUGUAAUUUUAUUGCAGAAGUGGUGACAGUUCCAGAUCCCCCUGUACUACCUGUGACAGUUCCAGAUCUCCCUGUACUACCUGUGACAGUUCCAGAUCUCCCUGUACUACCUGUGACAGUUCCAGAUCCCCCUGUACCUGGACCCUCUGUAUCAGCCCGCCCACCUGCACGUGUACAAUCAGACCCCUUUGAUAGUGACAGUGACCCAGAUGACCCUGAGCCUUUCCAUGGUUUUGAUGCCUCGCCCUAUACAUCAGAUGUAGAUGUUCCCUCAUCAGUUGAUACGAGUAUCACCUCUCCAGAGCCCAAAUCAGUUGAUACGAGUAGUAUCACCUCUCCCAUUCCUUCAGACUCCCAAGCACCUGCCCAUCCCACUCCAUAGCCCAGCCACCCACUCUCAUGUACCAUAUGGCCAUCCCAGUAAGCAAGCCAACCACUAGAAUUUGACUGGCAUGCACCUGUGACUUACAUAAACCAGACCUCUACAUAGCCUACAUGUCUUCAUUUUGCUGAAGGUAAGGAAUUCUCAGUUGUGUUUAAUGUUUGCAUACGUACAAUAAAUUUUGUACACCUAAGUGGUUACAUACUGUCCUUUAAUAUUAAUUCUUCAUUCCAGACUGCCCAUCAUCCUAGCCUGUUGUUAUCUGUGAUAAAGCACACUGAAGUUAGGUUUGGAAUGCAUCCUUAUCAUGAAUGCUCUACACCUCCACCUCCAUCUCCCACAACCUAGGUAACAGCUUUGAGACUCACUAAAAGUUGAACCCCCUGAAUGAUGUAGGCUAUGGGGCCACAUAAGACUUUGUCCAUCC
Long non-coding RNA from Macrobrachium nipponense, 1102 nucleotides. RefSeq lists it as uncharacterized. The record is from RefSeq and is a predicted model, not a curated record. Lineage: Eukaryota; Metazoa; Arthropoda; Malacostraca; Decapoda; Palaemonidae. The transcript has 6 exons.